AGGGGGAAGCCAGCUGCCAUGCUGUGAGGAUAUUCAGGCAAACCUGUGGAGGGGCUCAUGUGGCAAAGAGCUGAAGCCUUCUGGUCAGGCCAGUGAGGAGCAGUGGCAUCCUUCCAGCAGCCAUUGGCACCAUUCCAUGAUCUGGCAGCUGGAGCAGCAGGAGGGGAGGGGCCAAGUGGAUGCCAGGAACCUGAUAGCCAAUGGAAAGGAAAGAUAAGGAGGACAGUUGGAACCGCAUGGGUGACAGAAGGUGACCUGGAGGGAAGGUCUUUAGACAAACUCAACCAAU
Homo sapiens (human) is the source of this 289-nucleotide long non-coding RNA. RefSeq lists it as uncharacterized. The transcript is spliced from 3 exons. The record is from RefSeq and is a predicted model, not a curated record. NCBI's taxonomy places the organism in Eukaryota, Metazoa, Chordata, Mammalia, Primates, Hominidae.